UCUCAUUUUUUUGAAUAUAUUGUCGAGAUUUGAACUAGGUCUUGGUUCUUCUACUCAAUGCUUCAUUGAAUAUCAAUCCAUUUGGGCUUUCUUUUCAUAUAAAAGCUGAUUUAGAGGGAGAAAGUUAUGGAAGAAGUUAAGGGGUCUGAUGCCGAAGCAGAAAAGGAUGGUGGAGCUUUGAAGUUCGAUGCGAAUAGUAAUAGUGCUGAUCUCAUGCCAGUUUCCCUUCAAGGACAAAUGCUUCAUCUGGCAUGGAUGUUGUUGAGCUCAGCAAAAGCACAUAUAUGGAAUUGCAGAGGAAGAAGGUGCACCGUUAUGUGAUCUUUAAGAUUGAUGAGAAGAAAAAUGAGGCUGUGGUCGAAAAGACCGGAAGUCUAGCUGAGAGCUAUGAUGAUUUUGCUGCAUCUCUUCCUGAGAAUGAUUGCAGAUAUGCAGUCUAUGACUUCGAUUUUGUGACUUCUGAGAACUGCCAAAAGAGCAAUAUCUUUUUCAUUGCAUGAUAUCUGGUACCUGUUGAUUUGACUGUUGGGCAGUUUGUCUAUGUGGUUUGGAAGAGGAUAAAGCUUGGUGCUGAGAAGGCCAUCUUUAUCUUUGUCAAGAACAUUUUGCCACCCACUGCUGCCAUGAUGUCUGCAAUUUAUGAGGAAAACAAGGAUGAAAAUGGCUUCCUGUACAUGACCUACAGCAGCGAGAACACAUUUGGAUCAAUCUGAAUGCAUUCGAGCCAAUUUAUGUAAAUAAGAAUUUCAUGGAAACUUGCUGAAAUAUACAUUUCCUGAGUACCAGUUUGCUUCUUGUGGAAUACAAGCGUGUGAAGAUUGUGAUUUACUUUUGUUUUUGUUAUCCAUGGAAGAAUCAUGAAGGAAACUUUUGUUUUUGAUUUACGUUAUUUUGAAUUGUGAACAACAUUAUGUAUUUAAACAUUGUGUAUGUAUUAUGCAAUAUUAUGUGGUGGGAUAAUUUUGCUAAUGAGUUGUAAUAAAUGAAUGCAAGAAUAUUUGUAUUA
Camellia sinensis is the source of this 1006-nucleotide non-coding RNA. The record is from RefSeq and is a predicted model, not a curated record. Lineage: Eukaryota; Viridiplantae; Streptophyta; Magnoliopsida; Ericales; Theaceae.